This 789-nucleotide ribosomal RNA is filed under the name uncultured archaeon. RNAcentral describes it as "bacterial SSU rRNA". It matches the Rfam family "Archaeal small subunit ribosomal RNA", at positions 85 to 876 of the family's 1478-position model. The record is from RNAcentral.
ACGGCUCAGUAACACGUGGACAACCUGCCCUUAGGACGGGGAUAAACCCGGGAAACUGGGUAUAAUACCCGAUAGGUCUCGAUUGCUGGAAUGCAUCGAGAUUUAAAGCUCCGGCGCCUAAGGAUGGGUCUGCGGCCUAUCAGGUAGUAGUGGGUGUAGCGUACCUACUAGCCUACGACGGGUACGGGUUGUGAGAGCAAGAGCCCGGAGAUGGAUUCUGAGACACGAAUCCAGGCCCUACGGGGUGCAGCAGGCGCGAAAACUUUACAAUGCUGGCAACAGCGAUAAGGGAACCUCGAGUGCCAGGUUACAAAUCUGGCUGUCGAGAUGCCUAAAAAGCAUUUCAUAGCAAGGGCCGGGCAAGACCGGUGCCAGCCGCCGCGGUAACACCGGCGGCUCGAGUGGUAACCGUUAUUAUUGGGUCUAAAGGGUCUGUAGCCGGCCGGAUAAGUCUCUUGAGAAAUCUGGCAGCUUAACUGUCAGGCUUUCAGGAGAUACUGUCUGGCUCGAGGCCGGGAGAGGUGAGAGGUACUUCAGGGGUAGGGGUGAAAUCUUGUAAUCCUUGAAGGACCACCAGUGGCGAAGGCGUCUCACCAGAACGGACCUGACGGCAAGGGACGAAAGCUAGGGGCACGAACCGGAUUAGAUACCCGGGUAGUCCUAGCCGUAAACGAUACUCGCUAGGUGUCGGCCACGGUGCGACCGUUGUCGGUGCCGUAGGAAGCCGUGAAGCGAGCCACCUGGGAAGUACGGCCGCAAGGCUGAAACUUAAAGGAAUUGGCGGGGGAG